Molecule: ribosomal RNA, 528 nt
Filed under: uncultured Vagococcus sp.
Lineage: Bacteria; Bacillati; Bacillota; Bacilli; Lactobacillales; Enterococcaceae
Description: bacterial SSU rRNA
Rfam family: Bacterial small subunit ribosomal RNA
Source: RNAcentral
CGCCCUUAGAGUUUGAUCCUGGCUCAGGACGAACGCUGGCGGCGUGCCUAAUACAUGCAAGUCGAACGCAGCUUGCUUUGGUAAGAUGAGUGGCGAACGGGUGAGUAACACGUGGGUAACCUGCCUAUCAGAGGGGGAUAACACUUGGAAACAGGUGCUAAUACCGCAUAGAUUUCUUUCGCAUGAAAAGAGAGGAAAGACGUACGUGUCACUGAUAGAUGGACCCGCGGUGCAUUAGCUAGUUGGUGAGGUAACGGCUCACCAAGGCCAUGAUGCAUAGCCGACCUGAGAGGGUGAUCGGCCACACUGGGACUGAGACACGGCCCAGACUCCUACGGGAGGCAGCAGUAGGGAAUCUUCGGCAAUGGACGAAAGUCUGACCGAGCAACGCCGCGUGAGUGAAGAAGGUUUUCGGAUCGUAAAACUCUGUUGUUAGAGAAGAAUAGGUAGGAGUGACUUCCUGCCAUGACGGUAUCUAACCAGAAGCCACGGUUAACUACGUGCCAGCAGCCGCGGUAAUACGUAGGU